RNAcentral lists this long non-coding RNA (1796 nucleotides) under Macaca mulatta (Rhesus monkey). RNAcentral's name for it is "lncRNA (ENSMMUG00000050634.1)". Lineage: Eukaryota; Metazoa; Chordata; Mammalia; Primates; Cercopithecidae. The record is from RNAcentral.
AUAUAUAGCAAAGACAGAAAAAUGAUGACUUGGGACAAGCUAUUGAAAUAAUAACUUGAUGUCUAGCAGAUCAGGAUGCUUUUGAAUAAUCUGAUGUGGGGAAACAAAACAGCCAGUAAAUUGUGAAGGAGUAAAGGUAAAAGUUAAGCUAGUCUAUAUGCAUUACUAUUUAUUCACUCAUUUACUGUUUUCAUUCAUUUAUUUGACACAUACUUGUUGAGCAUCUACUGGGGCUGGGCAUCUUUUAGAAAAUGGGAACACCAAUGAAUCAGACACUGCCCUACCCUCAUGGAUCUUAUAAAAGCUAUUCUUUGACAAGAUGAGACUUUUCUUCUUCAAUUCUGGUAAAUUCAGUGGACCAUAUAAUUCAUUUCAAACUGUUUUCAUGUAGGAGAGAUUUGUGUAUGAUUGAGAGCAAGGAAAAGAGGCUUAGAAGGGGAAUUCAAACAUUGAAGACACAAAAGAAAAAAUAAAUAAUAAAAUACCGUGAUCUCUUUGAAAUUGAGAAUUAGAUGAAAUGAAAGAAAUAUAAAAAGGUAGUUUGGCCCUGUGGGGAAGAUGAGCUGUUCUUCCUCUGACACAGAAAAGAAGGAAGAAAGAACAUGCUGGAAGCAGAGCAAAGAAGAGAGGCUUAUGUUUCCAUACAAGAAUUUUGGGAUCCACGUGGAGUGCAAGAGGUUGGAAAAGGAGUUCUCAAAAAAUAAAAUGUUCAGUGGGGCGCAGUGGCUCACGCCUCUGAUCCCUGCACUUCGGGAGGCUGAGGUGGACGGAUCACCAGGUCAGUAGAUCGAGACCAUCCUGACCAACAUGGUGAAACCCCAUCUCUACUAAAAAUACAAAAAAAAUUAGCUGGGUGCGUGGCGGGCGCCUGUAGUCCCAGAUACUAGGACGCUGAGGCAGGAGAAUGGCGUGAACCCGGGAGGCGGAGCUUGCAGUGAGCCGAGAUCAUGCCAAAGCACUCCAGCCUGGGUGACAGAGCGAGACUCUGUCUCAAAAAAAAUAAAAUAAAAUAAUAAAAAGUUCUUGUUUGCUCUACAAGAGUAGCUUAACUUCUUUCCAAAGUAUAUUUCUGGAUUCAUGUGAGAUUUGUAGUUUAAAAUGGGGUUAUAAAAGAAAAAAAAGAAAGAAUGCCACCACCUCAAUCCAAAUAAAUAAAUUCUCUUAAGACUGUGUCACAUCAGUGAUACAGAUAGGCUGGAAUAUCUUCUAAAAGGCUCUUACUAUAAAUGCGUAAUUCACAUUGGUCCCAAUUGUCUGUGAAUGCAUCAUCCUCGUGGUUUAAACCUAAGUUCCUGAAGUGCAAUCAAACUGCCUUGCUUCCUUGUCAAUGCUGAGUUGAGAUCAUGUUCCAUGUAGCCAAAAAUUGUGAAAAGAGGAUAGAAAGCUGAUGAGUACCUGUUUCACUUCAUCCAACAAAGCACUUGGUCAAUCCAAGCUGGCUGUCAAGGUUUCUGAAAUAGGGUACCCCUUCCAGAGGGCAGAAUAGAUCUUAAAUAAUGGUCCUAGGCUCUGCAAACAACUAGCUGGGCAGCUUUUAUUCUUAAUUGUUUAGGGUCAUGGGUUAUUCUGAUUUGCCAGGCCUGUGUCACUUGUCUACUUUCUAUAUAAGCAGAAUUACUAUGGGGUGAAGGAGAAAUGCAAAUAAAAAUUAUGCUAAUAAAGUAUUUAAGUAGGCAGUAUUUUCUCAAAAUGAAUGAUGCUGGGUUAACAUGCGCAUACAUGUAGUAGAAUAACAGAGCAAAAUAUUUGUAGUGGAUGACUUUCACUUCAGACAGAAACACAGUAUCCAUUUCCCA